Molecule: RNA transcript, 644 nt
Organism: Cucurbita maxima (winter squash)
Lineage: Eukaryota; Viridiplantae; Streptophyta; Magnoliopsida; Cucurbitales; Cucurbitaceae
Exons: 7
Source: RefSeq, a predicted model, not a curated record
ACGUUUCCGUCUAAAAAGUGAGUACCGUCACAUCUAUAAAAGCGAUGGUGUUCGCGUCCAAGGGGCUACAAUGGCGAUCUCGGCGGUAAUUGGAUGGCGGACUGUGUUCGUUGUCUUGGCCUGUACGAUGGCUACAUCUAUCGCUUACACCAUCGCCAUCGAUGGCUCUCCUUUCCGCACGGAAAAUUUCUCGCGGUUAAUGGUCGCAACCAUAAUUGACAUUAUAUCAGCACCGUAGCCAUUGCGGCAUGGAUUUCCUAUAAGGAAGCAAACUGGAUUGCUUCAACAAUUUGGAUAGUUUUUCUUGUAUGUCUUGGCAGCAUUACUACUUGUGCCUACAUUCUUUGCCAGUUGUGGCAACUAUCGUCUCAGGAAUCCUUUGAAGAUAUUAUGUACCACGUUAUGAUCAACCAUCCAAACAAACCACUUGGAUGGUAACAACACUCAUCGAUUUCUUCACACAUGCCACUGUUUUGUCGAUCUGGAUGUUCUAUAAAGAAGAAUCAUGGCUUACUGCAAUUUUUUGGAUAGUUCUGGUACAGACUCUUGGGAGCACCUCUACAUGUCCCUUCAUUGUUAAGGAAUUGUUCAAGCUCAACUCCGAGGAUCCAGCCCACCUCAUUUUGUUGAAAGCUUCCCACAGG